GCCUCCCCCCUUUGGAGGCGUCUCCUCCCUGAACCUUGGCCGCCCCAUGCUCUGCAUGGGGCGGUUUUUUCUUGGGUU
Molecule: small RNA, 78 nt
Filed under: Sphingobium indicum BiD32
Lineage: Bacteria; Pseudomonadati; Pseudomonadota; Alphaproteobacteria; Sphingomonadales; Sphingobiaceae
Description: Sphingobium japonicum BiD32 Makes More Granules Regulator RNA (mmgR)
Rfam family: Makes More Granules Regulator RNA (mmgR)
About the family: SuhB later renamed mmgR (makes more granules regulator) was a putative non-coding RNA found multiple times in the Agrobacterium tumefaciens genome and related alpha-proteobacteria.
Source: Rfam by way of RNAcentral